AUCCUUCGGUGAGUCACGAGGCUUGAAACGCGGAGGUGUGCGUGUGUUGAAUCCUCCGCCGUGCAUUCGAUAGGUUAUUUUGCGCUUGCCGCAAACUUGCUCCUAUGAAACAAUUGCUCUGCACAGUUGGGUGUCGGCUUGUCAUAUGGGUGGCGUCAGAUUAGAGAUAAAAGAUGGGAGGAAAACAAAUUUUAAAAAAAUAAGGUAUGCGUGGCCCACACGUAGAUCGGGGGACCAAGGGGGAAAGUCGAGGUUGAGGGUUGAGUCGCGCACUUCGGCGACUGCGGCAGCCUGCGUUCGGGAGGUGAAUCUGGAGAGAGGGGAGCUGUCGUGUAUUCUGAUAUUUUCUACCAUGCUUGAUUGAGUUGCUGCGACGGAGAUUGUUUUGACGAUCGUGCUCGGUCUGGAUUCGUGUGCGGUUUGGAAUGCGGGGGAAGCCUUGCUGGUCUGAACAAACCGACUCCGUGUAUCACAGCUGUUAUGGAUGUGUAUUUCUGGACGCAGCAUUGUAGUGCAGGGUCAAAACUUGCGCACAUCCACUGUUGUCGUGGGCGGAAUGUGCAAUUAUCUGCAUUUCAAUGCGGAUAAUUUGUUCUUUAGACUUUUGCACUUUAGGUGCGAGAUAAUGGCAGGUUGGAAAUGGAUAUUCGCAACCAUCUAGCAUGUGUUCUAGUAUUUGUGCUCCCCUGUGCCGCAGAGGAGAAGUAGGUUUGCAUACAACUGGCGUUGCCGAAUAGCUAUACUCUAAGCUGCGUGCAUUCUGCACAUGCGUGGCAAAUGCGUAUGUAACUCUUGAUGUAAUAUAAAUUUGACUUAAAGGUUCCUGGAAUGAGUUUCCCAUUCUUUACACGUCGCGUCCGCAAUGACUUUUGCGUUGAAAUUGUGUUCUAUUGUUUUUCAUCUCCCUUUCGUAACUUCACGUAACUUUGUGCGUAGGUAAGAGCGGUUUCGUGCACAUCCACAUCUGAGCGAACUGGAUUUACUGCCCGCAUUCCGUCAUGGGAGUGUUACAGUGAUCAAUUUUGAUUAUCAUUCCAGAACUGGUCGUAGUCGACUGCAGGACGUCUGCAACUCCUGACAACCAAUUUGUAAUGAAGAAAAAAAUCAUGGGUAUAAUGUAUCAGCACGCAAUCGACUUGUAGAUCUGUCGAUUCUGCUCCCUCAAUUGCGUAAUUCACUGCAGACCGCUGGGUACCGAGCUCUUCGGUCACUUAACAUCUCCUACUCCAGUUAGUAAAUCAACCUUUCAGAGAUUUGCGAAAUUAGCAAAUUUGAAAAAGCGUCCUACACAACAAAAAGGAAAAGCAGAAAGUGAUUAGGUCAGAUAGCUCCUCCACACAUGCUCGUCAAAGCAACGGGUGUGCUGGCAAGAACAGCAGGAAGAACCUCGGUGGAAAGCGAGCCGAAUUCGCCAUGUCCACUUCAGAAAAUUAGGUCUGAAGCUAUCGACAGGAGAAGAAAAAGCAGAAAAAGAGAAAUAAACUCUUGUCGCCAAACGCAGUAAUAGAGACUUUUCUUCCUUUUCUAAAAUCCGUUGAUCUAUAUUAAGAUUUUACACUUUUGCAGCAUCAGACCGCGCACGAGAUCAGUAUAUCCAAGAAGGAGGCUUCUCUUCUUUUUUAAGCAUUCGACAUAUCCAUUGGGAUCCUUCCUGAGUAACCGACUUUCUAAACUCAACCACUAGGAAGGAUUAUUUAUGUUGGAAAUGUGUUAUGUUCCAAGGUACAUUGUGUCUUAUUCCCUAUUCUAAUCAGAAUCGUGGCCUUCGUGUUCUUUGAUUCACCGCAUUCUAAUUUUUUAUAAUGUGGUAAUUCGAUCACCUUUGACAUCACUGCAUUUCCUUCAACAUCCACAGGAUUCAAGUGAGAUAUACGUUUGCAAGCAUCUCCCACUGGAGCUGAGUUCCGCACCCCAAAUUCAAGUCAGCAUCCAAGUCUUCAAGCAAUAGACAUCGAAAAGAGACCUCAUAUUGAAUUGGUCACAUGGAUCCCAACCUAGUUGGCACAGCCUUUCGGACCAAGGCUUUCUAAGGGCCGAGUGAUCACCCUGGAUUCAAUGACCCAGCCUGGCCCUAAUCCACUUAACAACGCCGUCACGUGGGCCACAAUACAACAUUCGCUGGGAAAUAUCCACGUGGAAGCCAGCGUGGCGGAGCAGGAAAAGCAUGAGGGGUGUAGCCAAAAAAGAGUGGAUCAUGGAGUAGAUGGAAGGGAUACUUCGUACAAAUACACCAAGUGGAUAAAGAGCCCUAUCCAGCAACUACCUCUGCCACAUAGGACGCGCCAGAAAUAUCCAUUGGGAAACGCAAUCCAUGCUUCCAAUGAGGAUCCGGUGAUGUGGCACGCUUGAUCCAGGACCCAUGCCAAUCCUCCCACCGCCGCGAAAGCUAAAACCUGGACUUUCUUUGGCGGGAGAGUUCGGGUCCCCUCUUGGUCCAGCUGCGCCCUUUCCAUGUCAGCACGUUCUGACUGCAUGCAAUGGUUGAGCUGGCAUUCUGAUCUGGCAGGUGCGUCUCACCCGGCCCUGAAGCUGUGCAGGUGCUGGUUGGAGACCACAUCCACAACAUUAGGAGGGGGGCUUCCUUUUUCUGUGAUCAUUGUGGGAAGAAAAAAGGCAUUUGUUGAAGAAGCAAUGUCUCCAUGUUUUUUUGUACUGCUUGUUUUAUUUCUCUUCAUUGCGUCAUUAGUUGGUCAGAGCUACACUCUGUUGGAGGCACCCUCAUCAUGGCUUCUUCUUGUAACUUAUAAGAGGGAGAUCAGAUUUUUCUAAUAUAAUUGAACCAUGACAGCAAGAGCACUUGGUUGAGGAAGGCCCGGAUCUGAUUUCCCUUCAAGACUUAUCGCACUACCAUGUUUUUUCAAUUAGCUGGACCUCACUUAAAUUUUGAAGCUCUGAGCUUAUGCUUUCAUUCUCAAUCCCAUUCCCAUUCCCAUUCAUUCAUCCACCUGUCCUCCCCUUAUCUUCACUGUCUCUUCCAUCUUCCCAAUGCAGGCACCUAGAUAUUUUUUGAGUUCUCUACGUGAUUACGUCAACUCAAAACAAGCCUGAUUCACUGGAUCAUAGUACCCUUUUUAUUCAUACCUUUGUUUUUUCUGCAUGUCCAUUGCUCGCCACAAUCCCUAAUUCCUCAACACAUGCCAUCCCCCCAUCCUCCCUCUAAAAGCCGUGUCCCAAUUGGUGUUCCCCAAGCGUGAAAUUGUCUCUCCCUCCAACCACUUCCAAGGAAUCCUUUGCCACACACUAGAAACAUGAUAUGCACAUAUAUAUAUAUAUAUAUAUAUAUAUAUAUAUUAUACACACACUUGCACAUACAAAACACAUUAUUGCUUCUUUCCCACAAGUUAUCAUUUGCAAAAAAAAGAAUAUUCAUGUGUUCCAAAAUACAAGUAUUAUUAUUGUAACAAAGUGAGCGAAAUGUUUUAGUGGGAGUUGGGAGGCGAUGCCAUGCUUUUGGCACAUGGGAUGUGGAUUUUUGUCCACCUCUUUUGGCCAAACCCAUCACCCCAUUAUAUCCACACGCACAAACACCCAGACAGGGACUCCGCGUGGACUCGUUCCUUUCCGCCCAAUUACCACCCAUCCUCGUGGCACAUCUCACGGUCGGACAAACAAACCCUCAUAGGCCCCCCGACGUGCCCUUGUGGCACUCGCUUUGAAGGCGGAAUCCGAUUCCAUCCCAGAAAUUUCAUCCAUGACGAAGGAGCUCAUGGAUGAAAACCUAAUUUUUAUAUCACUCCCAAUCGAUUUAACAUAUAUUAUUUUAGUACAAAACCCUAUUCAUGACUAUCCACCAAACUACCCAUGCCAGCCAAGUCAGAUGCUCGUGUUAUAAUCAACGGUUGCGAAGGACUGGUUCAUAAAAACCCACUACAAUUCAUUAAUGAAUUUAAAAAUCUUCAGACAGUUUUCGAUGGAAAUGACUGAGGAAAACCCUAAUUGAGAUAGAAAAACCCUAAUUUUUUUUUGCCGUAGUGGGGAGAGAGAGCCUGUGUGCACGCCACGAACUCUUCUUCCCAUACGACCUGUGUUGGUUUCUCGCUGCCAAGGUUUACCCUAAUUUGUCUGAGCUAUCCCAGGCGGUGGACAAGAUCGGGUCGGAGGAAUGGAUUUCAUGGAAGUAGCAAUCAGCGGAAGGCGAGAUUGGCUUCGGUCGACGUAGCUGCUGCUGAUGUGAGUGGCCACGCCGACCCGAGUUAACAACUAGGGUAUCAUCGCCCGAUUAUGCUUUCCUCCAUCAGUGGACCACUUUUGUUAUCCUCCACACCGGACAAAUCCAGCAGAUUUGGGGUGCAGAUUUCGAACUGCAAAAAUCAACCACCUCAGCGUGCUGCGAGGGUAUGGGAAAUCAGACAUGAGUAAAUGCUCUGACGUUUUCAUUUAUGGCAGGCGUGAAAAUGGGGCCCGGUCGCGGGUUACACACGGCAUGCACUGGGCCUAGGGCUGCUUCUUUUCUUCCUUAUCCAGAAUCCAGGAUCCGUAUGGGCCACAAUGGAAGAAACGGGUGGGAGGUUGGGUUGACUACCUGAAAUUAGUUUGUGUCACGAACCAAUUAAUUGUUAAGACCCAUUCAAUCCACCUGUCAGUUAAGGAGUCCUGGCUUCAAUGCGAACUCAUGCCGGUUGCCAGAACACGCAGUUUGUGUCGUUGGUAGAUUCUUCCUGCUGGAGCUCCAGAAAUUGAUUUGAGACGUGGGUUCUAGGUACUUGCGGCGUUGAACGGUGUUGCGCUGGAUUGCUGCGAAGAAAACGAGUUCAUCGUUUGACAUUGUUGUGACAAUCCAUUGACCCAAAAAGAACAACAGAAAAUACAAAAGGUGGUUGAGGUCGCAUGGAAAUUAGUGUUUCCCUCAUUCUGACUCGUUCUGAAAGUGUUGAUCUUCGGACAAACAGAUUUAGGGUUCAAAAUUCAGUGAAUGUGAAAUACCAAGUCCAGGAGCAAA
Physcomitrium patens is the source of this 4939-nucleotide non-coding RNA. The record is from RefSeq and is a predicted model, not a curated record. NCBI's taxonomy places the organism in Eukaryota, Viridiplantae, Streptophyta, Bryopsida, Funariales, Funariaceae.